AGACAUUCUCUCUUUAUCGUAAUAAAUCCAACAGUAUUGAAUCUGUGACAAGUAUGACUUUCAAUGCUGAUAGAACGACAGGAACAAUCUUUUCGACGGUAAAAAUGCAGUGUUUUCAAAUAUCGGAACAGUUCCUUAUCAUCAGGAAUACAAGGAGCACUGAUGUAAGCAACGACGUAUUUUGGUUUUUCUGUAUUCCAGUCUUCUACACUUCUGGACAAUCAAAUUUUACCAUGCAUUUCAAAGAUAGUGAAAGGCCUGUUUUCAAUCAAACAGUAGCCUUAACUGAAACUCAGUUAUGUGAGAUCUGUGGAACAGGGACUUUUACGGGUUUUGAAACAGUCUU
Mytilus californianus (California mussel) is the source of this 346-nucleotide long non-coding RNA. RefSeq lists it as uncharacterized. The record is from RefSeq and is a predicted model, not a curated record. The transcript has 3 exons. NCBI's taxonomy places the organism in Eukaryota, Metazoa, Mollusca, Bivalvia, Mytilida, Mytilidae.